This 483-nucleotide ribosomal RNA is filed under the name uncultured bacterium. RNAcentral describes it as "partial 16S ribosomal RNA". It matches the Rfam family "Bacterial small subunit ribosomal RNA", at positions 30 to 506 of the family's 1533-position model. The record is from RNAcentral.
AUUGAACGCUGGCGGCAGGCCUAACACAUGCAAGUCGAGCGGAUGAAGGGAGCUUGCUCCUGGAUUCAGCGGCGGACGGGUGAGUAAUGCCUAGGAAUCUGCCUGGUAGUGAGGGAUAACGUCCGGAAACGGGCGCUAAUACCGCAUACGUCCUGAGGGAGAAAGUGGGGGAUCUUCGGACCUCACGCUAUCAGAUGAGCCUAGGUCGGAUUAGCUAGUUGGUGGGGUAAAGGCCUACCAAGGCGACGAUCCGUAACUGGUCUGAGAGGAUGAUCAGUCACACUGGAACUGAGACACGGUCCAGACUCCUACGGGAGGCAGCAGUGGGGAAUAUUGGACAAUGGGCGAAAGCCUGAUCCAGCCAUGCCGCGUGUGUGAAGAAGGUCUUCGGAUUGUAAAGCACUUUAAGUUGGGAGGAAGGGCAGUAAGUUAAUACCUUGCUGUUUUGACGUUACCAACAGAAUAAGCACCGGCUAACUUCGU